AUUGAACGCUGGCGGCAUGCUUUACACAUGCAAGUCGAACGGCAGCGCGGGCUUCGGCCUGGCGGCGGGUGGCGAACGGGUGAGUAAUACAUCGGAACGUGCCCAGUAGUGGGGGAUAGCUCGGCGAAAGCCGGAUUAAUACCGCAUACGACCUGAGGGUGAAAGCGGGGGAUCUUCGGACCUCGCGCUAUUGGAGCGGCCGAUGGCAGAUUAGCUAGUUGGUGGGGUAAAGGCCUACCAAGGCGACGAUCUGUAGCUGGUCUGAGAGGACGACCAGCCACACUGGGACUGAGACACGGCCCAGACUCCUACGGGAGGCAGCAGUGGGGAAUUUUGGACAAUGGGCGAAAGCCUGAUCCAGCAAUGCCGCGUGUGUGAUGAAGGCCUUCGGGUUGUAAAGCACUUUUGGCGGGAACGAAAAGGACUGUGCCAAUACCACGGUUCGAUGACGGUACCCGCAGAAUAAGCACCGGCUAACUACGUG
RNAcentral lists this ribosomal RNA (484 nucleotides) under uncultured bacterium. Its description in RNAcentral is "partial 16S ribosomal RNA". It matches the Rfam family "Bacterial small subunit ribosomal RNA", at positions 29 to 507 of the family's 1533-position model. The record is from RNAcentral.